AGCGCAAGUCCUGCUCUCCUCCACUUCCCGCACUUUGGCUCCUGUCACCAAGAGGACUUUGGCCAUGAGAAGGGGAUUCCUCUCCGAUACAAGCACAAAACACGUCCCAUCAGUCAACGGCUCCAAGAUCUGUUCAGAACUAGUCAAACCAACCCCCAAAAAACACAGUACAGACACCAAGUCCUCAGCACAAACGCUUCACUCUCCACAUCCCUUUCUAUUCUAUCAUCCUUUUCAUGUGCACUGCUGUAUCUGCUCACGCAGACGCCACCUCACCUGCAAGGUGUCUGCUCCGUGUGCCCACAGCUCCGCAAAGGGCACGGUGACAGCCCCCUGGGGACACCCACGUCACUGAGUCGUUGGCACUGCAGUAGCACCCACAGCUGCUCGCUGCGUGGUUUUCACCAGCUCGUGCUGCAGGGCUGUCCUGGCCUCACGGACUGCGUCACCAGGAGAGGUGAGGGGACAACCAGCCCCAGCCGCACCUCCUCGCUUUACUUAACUGCUGCCACCAUUCCUGCGGAGUCCUACGUGGGCCUAGGAAUUGAGUCCCAGACACGUCAAGCCCUGCUGCCCUGGCGUUGCAAUUGCAGGUGUCCCACAGCACCAGAGCCCAUCUCAGCACCUCCCCACAGCUCCAGGGCCAGCAAAAUCCCGCAACAAGCAGGGCACCAAGAGGGAUGUAGCAGGACCUGCUACCCCAUCUCCUGGGGACCAGGAGCUGCCACACUUUGUCCCCCUGCACAGCCGGUACUGGCAAAGGGACUUCGAGAAAGAGCUCCCAUCGGUCCCACUGGGCCUCGGGCACCUGACCCUCCGCCACCGGGAGGUCUGGAAACAUCAGCCCGGGUUCAUUUCAUAAGCAGGGCUUGGGAUUCCCUCCUCCUCCCUCUCUCCUUUGCUUCAGCAACACAAAGCCACUCUUUCUCCGCUUCCAAAUGGGGUCUGUGGGGCUCUCUGCAUCAGGGAUCAGGAGCAGCUUUGAAAGGAGGAACCCGCGGUUUGACCCCUGCUCUAUGGAGAGACCUUUUGUGCCUCCGCAAAGCUCUGCGCUGCACCAGCCCUGCGCCCGACAGAGGGAAACGCCGCAGGAAGCGGGGAUUUAUUCUGCUGCCAACAAUUGUGAACAGCAGUGUCCUCUGGUGCCGUCAUUGUCCAAAGGUGUUUGAGUGUAAAGCUCACACACAAUAG
This 1191-nucleotide long non-coding RNA is filed under the name Anser cygnoides (Swan goose). Its description in RNAcentral is "lncRNA (ENSACDG00005000586.1)". The record is from RNAcentral. Lineage: Eukaryota; Metazoa; Chordata; Aves; Anseriformes; Anatidae.